GUGCAUUGUAGUUGCAUUGCAUGUCACUGCAGACCCUGUGCAAUGUUUCUUCAGUGCAUUA
This 61-nucleotide microRNA precursor is filed under the name Microcaecilia unicolor. RNAcentral describes it as "Mun-Mir-33-P3_pre stem-loop". It matches the Rfam family "mir-33 microRNA precursor family", at positions 7 to 63 of the family's 69-position model. The record is from RNAcentral. Lineage: Eukaryota; Metazoa; Chordata; Amphibia; Gymnophiona; Siphonopidae.